UUAAACUGAAGAGUUUGAUCAUGGCUCAGAUUGAACGCUGGCGGCAGGCUUAACACAUGCAAGUCGAGCGGUAGCACA
Molecule: ribosomal RNA, 78 nt
Filed under: Marinomonas fungiae
Lineage: Bacteria; Pseudomonadati; Pseudomonadota; Gammaproteobacteria; Oceanospirillales; Oceanospirillaceae
Description: 16S rRNA. Bacterial SSU
Rfam family: Bacterial small subunit ribosomal RNA
Source: RNAcentral